Molecule: unclassified non-coding RNA, 324 nt
Filed under: soil metagenome
Description: partial contains 5.8S ribosomal RNA, internal transcribed spacer 2, and large subunit ribosomal RNA
Rfam family: 5.8S ribosomal RNA (bases 1-120)
Source: RNAcentral
GAUGAAGAACGUAGCGAAAUGCGAUAAGUAAUGCGAAUUGCAGAAUUCAGUGAGUCAUCGAAUCUUUGAACGCACAUUGCGCCCUGUGGUAUUCCGCAGGGCAUGCCUGUUCGAGCGUCAUUUCAACCCUCAAGCCCCGCUUGGUGUUGGGCCCCGCCCGCUGUGGCCGGCCCUAAAGACAGUGGCGGCGCCGCCUGGCCCUCAGCGUAGUACAUCUCUCGCUCCAAGGUCCGGUGGCCGCCUGCCAGAACCCCCCAACUCUGUGGUUGACCUCGGAUCAGGUAGGGAUACCCGCUGAACUUAAGCAUAUCAAUAAGCGGAGGA